CUGACUUUGUACCCCUGGUGGGAGGGAGCCUAACAGAGACCUGCAGGACUGUUUUUGUAGACUGGAUUCUUUCUUUUAAAGCAUGUUCCUGUUCUUCUGCUUUCACAAGCAACCUACUAACGGCAAUCUUAAUAAUCUGAAUGCACAUUCCUCCAUCUCCUCCCUACCUCCUUGUCCAGACACCUGUGCACCCGGGCAUGUACAGGUCCACGUACAUGACGGACUACAGGCCAUACACAGGCUGCCAUGAACACCUGCCCAUCAAGGAUCGCUCACAGAAACUGAAACUGGAAGCCCAGCUCAAGAAGAAAGAGUUCGAGAGGCCUGUUGAAUGUCAGCCGGUGAAGUACAUCGAAGAGCCUGGCUGUCAAGAAGUUAGACCACCGUAUCCCAUCAGAAUGGAUGGGAGGUUGUCAAAAGGACACCAAGCUCCACCAUNGUUUGAGCAGGUCCAAGAAGAUCAGCAAAGCUUAUAUCCACCUGUAAUCCAGCAGCAGGAAGAAGAAAGGCCACCUCAGCAAACAGUUGUGCCUCCUAUGUCAGGUCAUCUAGGCACUCCCUGUAUUGAUCACGAACAGGGCCAGAACUGGAAUGACUACCAUCAGUUCAUCUUGGAAAUGCAGAGAGCCAAUCAUAUUCAGCUGAAAGAAAUUAAGAAAUCACACCUGGGGUCAUCUGUGUUUCCACCAGGUCAGUUCAAC
This 701-nucleotide long non-coding RNA is filed under the name Salvator merianae (Argentine black and white tegu). RNAcentral describes it as "lncRNA (ENSSMRG00000016919.1)". Lineage: Eukaryota; Metazoa; Chordata; Lepidosauria; Squamata; Teiidae. The record is from RNAcentral.